This 1086-nucleotide ribosomal RNA is filed under the name uncultured organism. RNAcentral's name for it is "bacterial SSU rRNA". It matches the Rfam family "Bacterial small subunit ribosomal RNA", at positions 165 to 1257 of the family's 1533-position model. The record is from RNAcentral.
AAUACCGGAUGUGGCCACCCUGCGAUUGCAGGGGAAGCUAAAGGAUUUAUUCACUUCCCGAGGGGCUCGCGGUCCAUCAGCUUGUUGGUGAGGGUAACGGCCCACCAAGGCGACAACGGGUAGCUGGUCUGAGAGGAUGGUCAGCCACACUGGAACUGAGACACGGUCCAGACACCUACGGGUGGCAGCAGUCGAGAAUCAUUCGCAAUGGGGGAAACCCUGACGAUGCGACGCCGCGUGGAGGAUGAAGGCCUUAGGGUUGUAAACUCCUGUCAAGAGGGAAUAAGCAAGUGAAGGUACCUCUAGAGGAAGGGGCGGCUAAUUCCGUGCCAGCAGCCGCGGUAACACGGAAGCCCCGAGCGUUGUUCGGAUUCAUUGGGCGUAAAGGGUGCGUAGGCGGCGCGGAAAGUCCGGCGUGAAAGGCAGAGGCUCAACCUCUGGACUGCGUUGGAUACUUCCGUGCUUGAGGACUGGAGGGGAGACUGGAAUUCACGGUGUAGCAGUGAAAUGCGUAGAUAUCGUGAGGAAGACCGGUGGCGAAGGCGAGUCUCUGGACAGAUCCUGACGCUGAGGCACGAAGGCUGGGGGAGCGAACAGGAUUAGAUACCCUGGUAGUCCCAGCAGUAAACGAUGUGAGCUUGAUGUGGGGGGAUUCGACCCCUUCCGUGUCGAAGCUAACGCGAUAAGCUCACCGCCUGAGGAGUACGGCCGCAAGGCUAAAACUCAAAGAAAUUGACGGGGACCCGCACAAGCGGUGGAGUAUGUGGCUUAAUUCGAUGCAACGCGAAGAACCUUACCUGGCCUUGACAUGCAUUGUGUCGUCGGUGAAAGCCGGCUAGUCCUGGAAACAGGACGCUUUGCACAGGUGCUGCAUGGCUGUCGUCAGCUCGUGUCGUGAGAUGUUGGGUUAAGUCCCGCAACGAGCGCAACCCUUGUGGUCAGUUACUAACCGGCUUAGCCGGAGGACUCUGGCCGGACUGCCCUGUCAAACGGGGAGGAAGGUGGGGACGACGUCAAGUCAGUAUGGCCCUUAUGGCCAGGGCUGCACACGUACUACAAUGCCCGGUACAAUGUGAACCGAAACCG